AACGAACGCUGGCGGCAUGCCUAACACAUGCAAGUCGAACGAGACCUUCGGGUCUAGUGGCGCACGGGUGCGUAACGCGUGGGAACCUGCCCUUAGGUUCGGAAUAACUCCCCGAAAGGGGUGCUAAUACCGGAUAAUGUCUUCGGACCAAAGAUUUAUCGCCUUUGGAUGGGCCCGCGUUGGAUUAGCUAGUUGGUAGGGUAAAAGCCUACCAAGGCGACGAUCCAUAGCUGGUCUGAGAGGAUGAUCAACCACACUGGGACUGAGACACGGCCCAGACUCCUACGGGAGGCAGCAGUGGGGAAUAUUGGACAAUGGGCGAAAGCCUGAUCCAGCAAUGCCGCGUGAGUGAUGAAGGCCUUAGGGUUGUAAAGCUCUUUUACCCGGGAUGAUAAUGACAGUACCGGGAGAAUAAGCUCCGGCUAACUCCGUG
Molecule: ribosomal RNA, 433 nt
Filed under: uncultured bacterium
Lineage: Bacteria
Description: partial 16S ribosomal RNA
Rfam family: Bacterial small subunit ribosomal RNA
Source: RNAcentral